AGGGGAAUAGCUGGGGUGAAUGGUGGUUCCAUUCUCAGCUUUCCAAGGAAUCUCCAUACUGCUUUCCAGAUUGGCUGCACCAAUUUGCAGUCCCACCAGCAAU
RNAcentral lists this microRNA precursor (103 nucleotides) under Marmota monax (woodchuck). Lineage: Eukaryota; Metazoa; Chordata; Mammalia; Rodentia; Sciuridae. The record is from RNAcentral.